Molecule: ribosomal RNA, 466 nt
Filed under: uncultured bacterium
Lineage: Bacteria
Description: partial 16S ribosomal RNA
Rfam family: Bacterial small subunit ribosomal RNA
Source: RNAcentral
GAUGAGCGCUGGCGGCGUGCUUAACACAUGCAAGUCGAACGGAAAGGCUCCUGCUUGCAGGGGUACUCGAGUGGCGAACGGGUGAGUAACACGUGGGUGAUCUGCCCUGCACUUCGGGACAAGCCUGGGAAACUGGGUCUAAUACCGGAUAGGACGAUGGUUUGGAUGCCAUUGUGGAAAGUUUUUUCGGUGUGGGAUGAGCUCGCGGCCUAUCAGCUUGUUGGUGGGGUAAUGGCCUACCAAGGCGUCGACGGGUAGCCGGCCUGAGAGGGUGUACGGCCACAUUGGGACUGAGAUACGGCCCAGACUCCUACGGGAGGCAGCAGUGGGGAAUAUUGCACAACGGGCGCAAGCCUGAUGCGGCGACGCCGCGUGGGGGAUGACGGCCUUCGGGUUGUAAACUCCUUUCGCUAGGGACGAAGCGCAAGUGACGGUACCUGGAGAAGAAGCACCGGCUAACUACGUG